RNAcentral lists this unclassified non-coding RNA (318 nucleotides) under uncultured fungus. Its description in RNAcentral is "partial contains 5.8S ribosomal RNA and internal transcribed spacer 2". The stretch from base 1 to 133 matches the Rfam family "5.8S ribosomal RNA", at positions 22 to 154 of the family's 154-position model. Lineage: Eukaryota; Fungi. The record is from RNAcentral.
UGGUUCUGGCAUNGAUGAAGAACGCAGCGAAAUGCGAUAAGUAAUGUGAAUUGCAGAAUUCAGUGAAUCAUCGAAUCUUUGAACGCACAUUGCACCCUCUGGUAUUCCGGGGGGUAUGCCUGUUCGAGCGUCAUUGCAACCCUCAAGCUGUGCUUGGUAUUGGGCACCGCCGGUCACGGUGUGCCUUAAAAUCAGUGGCGGUGCCACUCGGCUUCAAGCGUAGUAAUACUUCUCGCUUCUGGAGUUUGGGUGUGCGCUCGCCAUCGACCCCCAAUUUUAUCAAUGGUUGACCUCGGAUCAGGUAGGGAUACCCGCUGA